GAUGAACGCUGGCGGUAUGCUUUACACAUGCAAGUCGUACGAGAGUUUUUAACUCAAGUGGCGGACGGGUGAGUAACACGUAAGAAUUUGCCUCUAGGAGGGGGACAACAACUGGAAACGGUUGCUAAUACCCCAUAUGCUUUCGAGUGAAAUGGAUAUUUCCGCCUAAAGAGAAGCUUGCGGCUGAUUAGCUUGUUGGUGAGGUAAUGGCUCACCAAGGCGACGAUCAGUAUCUGGUUUGAGAGGACGAUCAGACACACUGGAACUGAGACACGGUCCAGACUCCUACGGGAGGCAGCAGUGGGGAAUUUUCCGCAAUGGGCGAAAGCCUGACGGAGCAAUACCGCGUGAGGGAUGACGGCCUAUGGGUUGUAAACCUCUUUUUUCAGGGAGGAAUCAAAUGACGUGUACCUGAAGAAUAAGCAUCGGCUAACUCCGUGCCAGCAGCCGCGGUAAGACGGAGGAUGCAAGUGUUAUCCGGAAUCACUGGGCGUAAAGCGUCUGUAGGUGGUCCAAUAAGUCAACUGUUAAAUCUUGAGGCUCAACCUCAAAAUCGCAGUCGAAACUA
This 568-nucleotide ribosomal RNA is filed under the name uncultured bacterium. RNAcentral describes it as "bacterial SSU rRNA". It matches the Rfam family "Bacterial small subunit ribosomal RNA", at positions 28 to 635 of the family's 1533-position model. The record is from RNAcentral.